AUUGAACGCUGGCGGCAUGCCUUACACAUGCAAGUCGAACGGCAGCACGGGUGCUUGCACCUGGUGGCGAGUGGCGAACGGGUGAGUAAUACAUCGGAACGUACCUUAUCGUGGGGGAUAACGCAGCGAAAGCUGUGCUAAUACCGCAUACGCCCUGAGGGGGAAAGCGGGGGAUCGCAAGACCUCGCGCGAUUAGAGCGGCCGAUGCCUGAUUAGCUUGUUGGUGGGGUAAAAGCCCACCAAGGCGACGAUCAGUAGCUGGUCUGAGAGGACGAUCAGCCACACUGGGACUGGAACACGGCCCAGCCUCCUACGGGAGGCAGCGGUGGGGAAUUUUGGACAAUGGGGGCAACCCUGAUCCAGCAAUGCCGCGUGAGUGAAGAAGGCCUUCGGGUUGUAAAGCUCUUUUGUCAGGGAAGAAACACCGGCUCUAACACAGUCCGGGAAUGACGGUACCUGAAGAAUAAGCACCGGCUAACUACGUGCCAGCCGCCGCGGUAA
RNAcentral lists this ribosomal RNA (501 nucleotides) under uncultured bacterium. Its description in RNAcentral is "partial 16S ribosomal RNA". It matches the Rfam family "Bacterial small subunit ribosomal RNA", at positions 29 to 523 of the family's 1533-position model. The record is from RNAcentral.